GCCAGGCAAGGUGGUGCAUGUCUGUAAUCCAAUUAUUCAGGAGGCUGAGGCAGGAGGAUUGCAAGUUUAAGGCCAGCCUAGGCAACUUAGUGAGACCCUGUCUCAA
RNAcentral lists this small RNA (106 nucleotides) under Marmota monax (woodchuck). Lineage: Eukaryota; Metazoa; Chordata; Mammalia; Rodentia; Sciuridae. The record is from RNAcentral.